UACGGAGAGGGCAAGCGUUGUUCGGAUUUACUGGGCAUAAAGCGCACGUAGGCGGGCUCACGAGUCGGUUGUGAAAUCCUGGGGCUCAACCCCAGAACUGCAUCCGAUACUAUGAGUCUAGAGGAUGAAAGGGGAGAGUGGAACUUCUGGUGGAGCGGUGAAAUGCGUAGAUAUCAGAAGGAACACCGGUGGCGAAAGCGACUCUCUGGUUCAUAUCUGACGCUGAGGUGCGAAAGCUAGGGGAGCAAACGGG
Molecule: ribosomal RNA, 253 nt
Filed under: uncultured bacterium
Lineage: Bacteria
Description: partial 16S ribosomal RNA
Rfam family: Bacterial small subunit ribosomal RNA
Source: RNAcentral